UUUCCGUAGGUGAACCUGCGGAAGGAUCAUUACUGAAGUGAGUCUUCAUCAUUGAAGCUUCUUCCCAUUGUGCUGGCUUUGACCGUAUGUAAUGUUGGGGAUUAAACAUGUUGAAAUUUAUUUUAGCCGUCCCCAACAAUUUAUCUUAUCCUUUAUUAAAUUGAACUGAACUCAUUUUGAGAUUACAUAAAAAAUAAUCUUUUAAUACAACUUUCAACAACGGAUCUCUUGGUUCUC
RNAcentral lists this unclassified non-coding RNA (237 nucleotides) under plant metagenome. Its description in RNAcentral is "partial contains small subunit ribosomal RNA, internal transcribed spacer 1, and 5.8S ribosomal RNA". The record is from RNAcentral.